UCAGAACGAACGCUGGCGGCAGGCCUAACACAUGCAAGUCGAACGGAUCCUUCGGGAUUAGUGGCAGACGGGUGAGUAACGCGUGGGAAGCUACCUUGUGGUAGGGAACAACAGUUGGAAACGACUGCUAAUACCCUAUGAGCCCUAUGGGGGAAAGAUUUAUCGCCAUGAGAUGUGCCCGCGUUAGAUUAGCUAGUUGGUAAGGUAAUGGCUUACCAAGGCGACGAUCUAUAGCUGGUCUGAGAGGAUGAUCAGCCACACUGGGACUGAGACACGGCCCAGACUCCUACGGGAGGCAGCAGUGGGGAAUAUUGGACAAUGGGGGCAACCCUGAUCCAGCCAUGCCGCGUGAGUGAUGACGGCCUUAGGGUUGUAAAGCUCUUUCAGCAGUGAAGAUAAUGACAUUAACUGCAGAAGAAGCCCCGGCUAACUUCGUGCCAGCAGCCGCGGUAAUACGAAGGGGGCUAGCGUUGUUCGGAAUCACUGGGCGUAAAGCGUACGUAGGCGGACUGAUCAGUCAGGGGUGAAAUCCCGGGGCUCAACCCCGGAACUGCCUUUGAUACUGUCAGUCUUGAGAUCGAGAGAGGUGAGUGGAACUCCGAGUGUAGAGGUGAAAUUCGUAGAUAUUCGGAAGAACACCAGUGGCGAAGGCGGCUCACUGGCUCGAUA
RNAcentral lists this ribosomal RNA (669 nucleotides) under Pseudovibrio sp. Its description in RNAcentral is "bacterial SSU rRNA". It matches the Rfam family "Bacterial small subunit ribosomal RNA", at positions 24 to 739 of the family's 1533-position model. The record is from RNAcentral. Lineage: Bacteria; Pseudomonadati; Pseudomonadota; Alphaproteobacteria; Hyphomicrobiales; Stappiaceae.